Molecule: ribosomal RNA, 253 nt
Filed under: uncultured prokaryote
Description: partial 16S ribosomal RNA
Rfam family: Bacterial small subunit ribosomal RNA
Source: RNAcentral
ACAGAGGGGGCAAGCGUUAUUCGGAAUUAUUGGGCGUAAGGGGCGCGUAGGCGGCCUGGCAAGUGGAAGGUGAAAUCCCUCGGCUUAACCGAGGAACUGCCUCCCAAACUGCUUGGCUCGAGACCGGGAGAGGUGAGUGGAAUUCCCAGUGUAGCGGUGAAAUGCGUAGAGAUGUGGAGGAACACCAAUGGCGAAGGCAGCCUUCUGGGCCAACACUGACGCUCAUGCACGAAAGCGUGGGGAGCAAACAGGA